UGGGGAAUAUUGCACAAUGGGCGCAAGCCUGAUGCAGCCAUGCCGCGUGUAUGAAGAAGGCCUUCGGGUUGUAAAGUACUUUCAGCGGGGAGGAAGGGAGUAAAGUUAAUACCUUUGCUCAUUGACGUUACCCGCAGAAGAAGCACCGGCUAACUCCGUGCCAGCAGCCGCGGUAAUACGGAGGGUGCAAGCGUUAAUCGGAAUUACUGGGCGUAAAGCGCACGCAGGCGGUUUGUUAAGUCAGAUGUGAAAUCCCCGGGCUCAACCUGGGAACUGCAUCUGAUACUGGCAAGCUUAAGUCUCGUAGAGGGGGGUAGAAUUCCAGGUGUAGCGGUGCAAUGCGUAGAGAUCUGAAGGAAUACCGGUAGCGAAGGCGGCCCCCUGGACGAAGACUGACGCUCAGGUGCGAAAGCGUGGGGAGCAAACAGG
This 429-nucleotide ribosomal RNA is filed under the name Chloroflexota bacterium. Its description in RNAcentral is "Chloroflexi bacterium partial 16S ribosomal RNA". It matches the Rfam family "Bacterial small subunit ribosomal RNA", at positions 355 to 776 of the family's 1533-position model. The record is from RNAcentral. Lineage: Bacteria; Bacillati; Chloroflexota.